RNAcentral lists this ribosomal RNA (381 nucleotides) under uncultured eukaryote. RNAcentral's name for it is "partial 18S ribosomal RNA". It matches the Rfam family "Eukaryotic small subunit ribosomal RNA", at positions 592 to 976 of the family's 1831-position model. The record is from RNAcentral.
CAAUAGCGUAUAUUAAAGUUGUUGCGGUAAAAAAGCUCGUAGUUGGAUUUCUACCGAAGAUAGCCGGUCGGGUCUUCGACCUUGUAUCUGGUUUUGUCUUUGGUAUCCUCAUAGGGAACGUUUCUGCGCUUUAUUGCGUGGUGCGGUAUCUAUGACUUUUACUUUGAGGAAAUUAGAGUGUUCACGGCAAGCAAACGCCUUGAAUAUAUUAGCAUGGAAUAAUAACAUAGGAUCUUCGUCCUAUUUUGUUGGUUUCUAGGGCUAAGAUAAUGAUUAAUAGGGAUAAUUGGGGGCAUCUGUAUCAACGCGUCAGAGGUGGAAUUCUUGGAUUGCGUUGCGACAAACUACUGCGAAAGCAUUUGCCAAGGAUGUUUUCAUUGA